AUAGUUAUAUAUCAGGGUAGAUUCAUGAAGGUUGUUAUUCAAGGAAAAGCUUAACCCUUGAACUCUGGCUGUGCUGACCCCUGCAGUUUUCUCCAAAUGUGGAGAACUUGACUGCAUACUUUGUGGUUGUUAGGGAAAGGCUUUGUACUCUAA
This 153-nucleotide small nuclear RNA is filed under the name Erinaceus europaeus (western European hedgehog). RNAcentral describes it as "U1 spliceosomal RNA (ENSEEUG00000019873.1)". It matches the Rfam family "U1 spliceosomal RNA". From Rfam's summary of the family: U1 is a small nuclear RNA (snRNA) component of the spliceosome (involved in pre-mRNA splicing). Its 5' end forms complementary base pairs with the 5' splice junction, thus defining the 5' donor site of an intron. There are significant differences in sequence and secondary structure between metazoan and yeast U1 snRNAs, the latter being much longer (568 nucleotides as compared to 164 nucleotides in human). The record is from RNAcentral. Lineage: Eukaryota; Metazoa; Chordata; Mammalia; Eulipotyphla; Erinaceidae.